AACCUUCCCAUAACUCAGGGAUAGCCUUUCGAAAGAAAGAUUAAUACCUGAUAGUACUUUUUCAAGGCAUCUUGAAAAAGUUAAAGAUUUAUUGGUUAUGGAUGGGGAUGCGUUCCAUUAGAUAGUUGGUGAGGUAACGGCUCACCAAGUCUUCGAUGGAUAGGGGUUCUGAGAGGAAGGUCCCCCACAUUGGUACUGAGACACGGACCAAACUCCUACGGGAGGCAGCAGUGAGGAAUAUUGGUCAAUGGGCGAGAGCCUGAACCAGCCAAGUAGCGUGAAGGAAUGAAGGUCCUAUGGAUUGUAAACUUCUUUUAUAGUAGAAUAAAGUGAUCCACGUGUGGAUUUUUGUAUGUAUACUAUGAAUAAGGAUCGGCUAACUCCGUGCCAGCCGCCGC
Molecule: ribosomal RNA, 398 nt
Filed under: uncultured bacterium
Lineage: Bacteria
Description: bacterial SSU rRNA
Rfam family: Bacterial small subunit ribosomal RNA
Source: RNAcentral